UACGAAGGGGGCUAGCGUUGUUCGGAAUUACUGGGCGUAAAGCGCACGUAGGCGGAUAUUUAAGUCAGGGGUGAAAUCCCGGAGCUCAACUCCGGAACUGCCUUUGAUACUGGGUAUCUUGAGUAUGGAAGAGGUAAGUGGAAUUGCGAGUGUAGAGGUGAAAUUCGUAGAUAUUCGCAGGAACACCAGUGGCGAAGGCGGCUUACUGGUCCAUUACUGACGCUGAGGUGCGAAAGCGUGGGGAGCAAACAGG
Molecule: ribosomal RNA, 253 nt
Filed under: uncultured bacterium
Lineage: Bacteria
Description: partial 16S ribosomal RNA
Rfam family: Bacterial small subunit ribosomal RNA
Source: RNAcentral